CAUAAUCAAAAAUUACUCCCUUGCUUGUUGCAGGUUUUGAUAGUUGGAAGGAAACGAAAAAUCUGAUUUGUUGACACGAGGUGGCCUCAUCAAUAUUAAAUUUAUUAAGAAAGGAAAGCUGCACUGAACUCGUCUAACGUCCUGAAUUCGUGAUUAUGGAUCUGGAAGAACAUCAGAGGUUCACCGCUUAACAAACUGGAUAAUCGAAGACGCCAAAAAUUCCAAGAGGAUUCUUGGCGGUGAUUGAAGAGAUCUGGGCGUUGGACUCCAUCGCGCCCCC
Long non-coding RNA from Nilaparvata lugens (brown planthopper), 280 nucleotides. RefSeq lists it as uncharacterized. The transcript is spliced from 3 exons. NCBI's taxonomy places the organism in Eukaryota, Metazoa, Arthropoda, Insecta, Hemiptera, Delphacidae. The record is from RefSeq and is a predicted model, not a curated record.